AAAGGUGGAAAGCGGUUUAUUGGGAAACACUCAAGGAACUGUCACAGUGUGGAUUUUCGUUUCUCGCACAGAAUGUCAAAUCUAAACUGCAAGAAGUUUCAGUGAACGCACGGCGCAGUGGAUUUCUUUUGAUACGGAUAUCUAGCCGCAAAUAAGUGACAAGAUAAUGGGGAAUUAUGAUAGACAAAGAAAUACGCCGUGUGCAAGCUGCAUGCGCGCCCUGAAGUGGAUUCCUGUGCUGUUUAUCGUUUCCAUCAUUGUGUGGUCUUAUUACGCCUAUGUCGUUCAGCUGUGCAUCUUGUCGAUGGAUAAUAUAGCGUUGAAAGUGAUCUUCCUAAUACUGUACCAUGCGGUUUGCUUUCUCUUUUUCUGGUCGUACUGGCAGACCGUCUUCACCCCCAUUGGAACUGUUCCUACUAAGUGGCGAAUUCCAGAAAGUGAAAUCGAGAAACUGGGCCAAGCUGAGACACAAGAGCAACAGAAGCGAAUACUCGAGUUAUUCGCAAAAAACUUUCCAGUGAGCAAUAGAACAAUUAAUGGAGCGGUUCGUUUCUGUGAAAAAUGCCAAAUAAUAAAACCAGAUCGAGCUCAUCAUUGUAGUGUAUGUGGGACAUGUGUUCUGAAAAUGGAUCACCACUGUCCCUGGGUGAAUAACUGCGUUAACUUCUCGAACUAUAAAUAUUUUGUUUUAUUUCUGGGAUACGCUUUGAUUUAUUGCUUAUACGUAGCAGCGACAUCCUUACAAUAUUUCAUUAAAUUCUGGGAGGGUGAACUGAACGGAGGCAUGGGAAGGUUUCACAUUCUCUUUCUCUUUUUUGUGGCUGUGAUGUUUGCUAUUAGCUUAGUCAGUUUAUUUGGUUAUCACAUUUACCUAGUUUUACUUAACAGAACUACAUUAGAGGCCUUUAGAGCACCAAUUUUUCGCAUUGGUGGGCAGGACAAAAACGGAUACAAUUUAGGGCGGUAUAAUAAUUUCCAAGAAGUGUUCGGUGACAAUUGGAAGUUAUGGUUUUUGCCCGUCUAUACAAGUUUGGGUGAUGGAAUAAUCUAUCGAAUGAAUUCUCAGCAUCAGAGUACGUCGUAUGAGUCUAUGGGCGAUACUCCCAACACGCCGCCCUCAAGCUCUAGCAUAAGCAAUAAAAAUAGAUUGUUUUGGAACGAGAAUUAAAUAAAGUCAAAAAGCUGCAAUUACAGAAGCGAAAACAAUUACUGAACAACAAAAUGUUUCUAACGAAACAAUAAUAAAUGUGAAAAAAAUAUUCGCAAGAACAACGUGAAGCACUCAUUAUUCUUGGUGAAAACCUCCAUAUGUAAUUCUAUAUAUAUUUUAUCACCCAAAAAAGAAGUGAUCUAAUAAAUUCAAAAAGGUGAAAAACAAAUUGAUUUAAAUGACGACGUACGUACUUAGGAUCCUGUAUUUCGCUUUUAUUCUUCAAUUUUUUCUACAAUAAGCUCGGCAUGUAAAGUAACUAUUAUAACGAAUAUGAUUUGUA
This 1493-nucleotide unclassified non-coding RNA is filed under the name Hermetia illucens (black soldier fly). RNAcentral describes it as "palmitoyltransferase ZDHHC15, transcript variant X2". The record is from RNAcentral. Lineage: Eukaryota; Metazoa; Arthropoda; Insecta; Diptera; Stratiomyidae.